This 397-nucleotide long non-coding RNA is filed under the name Ananas comosus (pineapple). Its description in RNAcentral is "long non-coding RNA (ACOM_LNC022023)". The record is from RNAcentral. Lineage: Eukaryota; Viridiplantae; Streptophyta; Magnoliopsida; Poales; Bromeliaceae.
UUAUGCAAAAUGUGUAUUAACAAUGCAUAUGUUGCACUACUUAUACAGAUAUUGCACUAUUUUGAAGAGAUAUUGAAUAUGCUACACUACUUAUACAGAUAUUGACUAUAUUGCACUAUUUUGAAGAGAUUGUUGCACUACUUAAUCUUUAUUUUUUUUAUUUUCUCUUGAAUGAGGUUUCUUGUUUUACAAGAAAGGUACAUGUACAUAAUUAUUGCUUAGCAGUUGUCAUUUCCAAGAAGUUUUAUACAUAAUGGCUUAGCAGUUGUAUUUUUCUAGACAUUUAAAGUAUAUAUUUUUUAUGAAUUUUGAAAGAGGGGUAGUUUGGUCAUCCUUCUGAAAAUUCGGCCCGAAUCUGCAAAAACUAAAAAUGUAGCCCACUUUUGCAAAAGCGCAA